RNAcentral lists this ribosomal RNA (345 nucleotides) under Clostridioides difficile. RNAcentral's name for it is "bacterial SSU rRNA". It matches the Rfam family "Bacterial small subunit ribosomal RNA", at positions 1 to 353 of the family's 1533-position model. The record is from RNAcentral. Lineage: Bacteria; Bacillati; Bacillota; Clostridia; Peptostreptococcales; Peptostreptococcaceae.
UUUUAUUUGAGAGUUUGAUCCUGGCUCAGGAUGAACGCUGGCGGCGUGCCUAACACAUGCAAGUUGAGCGAUUUACUUCGGUAAAGAGCGGCGGACGGGUGAGUAACGCGUGGGUAACCUACCCUGUACACACGGAUAACAUACCGAAAGGUAUGCUAAUACGGGAUAAUAUAUUUGAGAGGCAUCUCUUAAAUAUCAAAGGUGAGCCAGUACAGGAUGGACCCGCGUCUGAUUAGCUAGUUGGUAAGGUAACGGCUUACCAAGGCGACGAUCAGUAGCCGACCUGAGAGGGUGAUCGGCCACAUUGGAACUGAGACACGGUCCAAACUCCUACGGGAGGCAGCA